This 937-nucleotide ribosomal RNA is filed under the name Candidatus Uhrbacteria bacterium. RNAcentral's name for it is "bacterial SSU rRNA". It matches the Rfam family "Bacterial small subunit ribosomal RNA", at positions 1 to 964 of the family's 1533-position model. Lineage: Bacteria; Candidatus Uhriibacteriota. The record is from RNAcentral.
UCGAAUAAGAGUUUGAUCCUGGCUCAGGAUGAACGCUGGCGGCGUGUCUUAGGCAUGCAAGUCGAAUGCUCGCAAGAGCAUGGCAAACGGGUGCGUAACACAUUGGUAACCUACCCUCGAGCGGGGCAUAAUCAACCGAAAGGUUGAAUAAUACCCCAUAGUUUCGCGCGGCGCAGGCUGUGCGAAUAAAGAUUUAUCACUCGAGGAGGGGCCUAUGGUCCAUCAGCUAGUUGGUGAGGUAACGGCUCACCAAGGCAAUGACGGAUAGCGGGUAUUAACGUACGACCCGCCUCACCGGGACUGAAACACUGCCCGGACUCCUACGGGAGGCUGCAGUCAAGAAUAUUCCACAAUGCCCGAAAGGGUGAUGGAGCGACGCCGCGUGUAGGAUGAAGGCCUUCGGGUCGUAAACUACUUUUCCCAGGGAAGAAUUUCUGACGGUACCUGGGGAAUAAGGGACUGCUAACUUCGUGCCAGCAGCAGCGGUAAUACAGAGGCCUCAAGCGUUAUCCGGUGUUAUUAGGCGUAAAGCGUCCGCAGGUGGUGGCGCGCAUCUCUGGUCAAAUCCCGAAGCUCAACUUCGGGACCGCCGGAGAGAUGGCGCCGCUAGAGGCAGGGAGAGGUAAGUAGAAUGGCUGGUGUAGUAGUAAAAUGCGUUAAUAUCAGCCAGAACACCAAAAGCGAAAGCAGCUUACUGGAACUAUCCUGACACUAAGGGACGAAAGCGUGGGUAGCGAAUGGGAUUAGAUACCCCAGUAGUCCACGCCGUAAACGAUGGGUACUAGGCAUUGAGAGCUCGACCCUCCCAGUGCCGCUUAACCUAGCUAACGCAAUAAGUACCCCGCCUGGGGAGUACGGUCGCAAGACUAAAACUCAAAGGAAUUGACGGGAACCCGCACAAGCGGUGGAGCAUGUGGUUUAAUUCGACGGUAAGCGU